Molecule: transfer RNA, 65 nt
Filed under: Triops longicaudatus
Lineage: Eukaryota; Metazoa; Arthropoda; Branchiopoda; Notostraca; Triopsidae
Description: tRNA-Tyr
Source: RNAcentral
UAAUAUAGGGGUUCCUAACCCAUAAUUAGAUUUACAGUCUAACACUUUUAUCAGCCACUAUAUUG